GAUGAACGCUAGCGGCAGGCCUAAUACAUGCAAGUCGAACGGGAUUGAGGAGCUUGCUCCUCAUGAGAGUGGCGCACGGGUGCGUAACACGUAUGUAGCCUACCUUAAUCAGGGGGAUAGCCUCUCGAAAGAGAGAUUAACACCGCAUAAAAUCACACUAUGGCAUCAUAGAAUGAUCAAAUAUUUAUAGGAUUAAGAUGGGCAUGCGGAACAUUAGCUAGUUGGUAAGGUAACGCCUUACCAAGCCUACGAUGUUUAGGGGACCUGAGGGGAUGGCCCCCCACCUUGGUACUGAGAACCGGACCAGCCUCCUACGGGAGGCAGCAGUAAGUAAUAUUGGUAAAUGGACGGAAGUCUGAACCAGCCAUGCCGCGUGCAGGAAAACGGCCCUACGGGUUGUAAACUGCUUUUGUACCGGAAUAAACCUCUUUACGUGUAAGGAGCUGAAUGUACGGUAAGAAUAAGGAUCGGCUAACUCCGUGCCAGCCGCCGCAGUAA
Molecule: ribosomal RNA, 498 nt
Filed under: uncultured bacterium
Lineage: Bacteria
Description: partial 16S ribosomal RNA
Rfam family: Bacterial small subunit ribosomal RNA
Source: RNAcentral